UACAGAGGUGUCAAACGUUGUCCGGAAUUAUUGGGCGUAAAGGGCGCGUAAGCGGUUGGAUAAGUCAGCUGUGAAAUCACUGGGCUCAACCCAGUAAUUGCAUUUGAUACUGUCUAGCUUGAGUUGGGUAGAGGGGGGCGGAAUUCCCGGUGUAGCGGUGAAAUGCGUAGAUAUCGGAAGGAACAUCAGUGGCGAAAGCGACUUCCUGGACCAGUACCGACGUUCAGGCACGAAAGCGUGGGGAGCAAACAGG
This 253-nucleotide ribosomal RNA is filed under the name uncultured bacterium. RNAcentral describes it as "partial 16S ribosomal RNA". It matches the Rfam family "Bacterial small subunit ribosomal RNA", at positions 524 to 776 of the family's 1533-position model. The record is from RNAcentral.